GUAGGUGGCAAGCGUUGUCCGGAAUUAUUGGGCGUAAAGCGCGCGCAGGCGGUCCUUUAAGUCUGAUGUGAAAGCCCCACGGCUCAACCGUGGAGGGUCAUUGGAAACUGGGGGACUUGAGUACAGAAGAGGAAAGCGGAAUUCCAAGUGUAGCGGUGAAAUGCGUAGAGAUUUGGAGGAACACCAGUGGCGAAGGCGGCUUUCUGGUCUGUAACUGACGCUGAGGCGCGAAAGCGUGGGGAGCAAACAGGAUUAGAUACCCUGGUAGUCCACGCCGUAAACGAUGAGUGCUAAGUGUUAGGGGGUUUCCCGCCCCCUUAGUGCUGCAGCUAACGCAUUAAGCACUCCGCCUGGGGAGUACGCCGCAAGGCUG
This 373-nucleotide ribosomal RNA is filed under the name uncultured organism. Its description in RNAcentral is "partial 16S ribosomal RNA". It matches the Rfam family "Bacterial small subunit ribosomal RNA", at positions 527 to 896 of the family's 1533-position model. The record is from RNAcentral.